RNAcentral lists this transfer RNA (72 nucleotides) under Ornithorhynchus anatinus (platypus). It matches the Rfam family "tRNA". Rfam says of the family: Transfer RNA (tRNA) molecules are approximately 80 nucleotides in length. Their secondary structure includes four short double-helical elements and three loops (D, anti-codon, and T loops). Further hydrogen bonds mediate the characteristic L-shaped molecular structure. tRNAs have two regions of fundamental functional importance: the anti-codon, which is responsible for specific mRNA codon recognition, and the 3' end, to which the tRNAs corresponding amino acid is attached (by aminoacyl-tRNA synthetases). tRNAs cope with the degeneracy of the genetic code in two manners: having more than one tRNA (with a specific anti-codon) for a particular amino acid; and 'wobble' base-pairing, i.e. permitting non-standard base-pairing at the 3rd anti-codon position. Lineage: Eukaryota; Metazoa; Chordata; Mammalia; Monotremata; Ornithorhynchidae. The record is from Rfam by way of RNAcentral.
AGCAGCGUGGCUCAGUGGAAAGAGCCCGGGCUUGGGAGUCAGAGGUCAUGGGUUCGAAUCCCGGCUCUGCUC